AUGAAGAUCGAUGCUACCGAUCAUGCAAAUGCCCUAGAUAAUGCCAUUGGUAAAGAAAGGUUAUUCUACAUAGGAAUGAAUACUGAUUUGGCUGCCAAGUACCCUAUAAAAUAUGUCCUAAAGAAAAGUUUCUCUGUCGACAAUAAUAAUUCAGUACCUCUAUUACCACCAGCAAAGGUUAGCAACUUUUUACUAUUAUUUGAUUAUUACUAUUACUAUAUCACACUGUUUUACUUGAAACGACAAACUUUUCAGACAGCCCAACAGACAAACCUACUGCCCCCUCCAACUUCAUCCAACAUAAGUGCUCAAAGGUUACCAACCAUUUAUCAAAUUUAUUAUGAUCAAUGUAUUCACAGAGUAGUACAUCCAUAUUUUCUAAUCAAUUUUGUCCUAUUAUUUUCAGUCCAAUUGGACAAAACACCGAGGCCUCCUCUGAGAAUACACCUCCAAUUGGUAAUCAAACACAUACCAAGAUAA
This 480-nucleotide ribosomal RNA is filed under the name Triticum aestivum (bread wheat). Its description in RNAcentral is "partial small subunit ribosomal RNA". Lineage: Eukaryota; Viridiplantae; Streptophyta; Magnoliopsida; Poales; Poaceae. The record is from RNAcentral.